Molecule: transfer RNA, 87 nt
Filed under: Leptolyngbya cf. ectocarpi LEGE 11479
Lineage: Bacteria; Bacillati; Cyanobacteriota; Cyanophyceae; Leptolyngbyales; Leptolyngbyaceae
Also listed under: 6 other names
Rfam family: tRNA
About the family: Transfer RNA (tRNA) molecules are approximately 80 nucleotides in length. Their secondary structure includes four short double-helical elements and three loops (D, anti-codon, and T loops).
Source: Rfam by way of RNAcentral
GGAGAGGUGGCAGAGUGGUUGAAUGCGGUAGAUUCGAAAUCUAUUAUGGGCUUCGGUUCAUCGGGGGUUCGAAUCCCCCCCUCUCCG